Molecule: long non-coding RNA, 1266 nt
Filed under: Ficedula albicollis (Collared flycatcher)
Lineage: Eukaryota; Metazoa; Chordata; Aves; Passeriformes; Muscicapidae
Description: lncRNA (ENSFALG00000026875.1)
Source: RNAcentral
CCCCCCCCCCCCCCCCCCCCCCCCCCCCCCCCCCCCCCCCCCCCCCCCCCCCCCCCCCCCCCCAGCGGGACAGGGAACACCGGGACAGGGGACACCGGGACAGGGAACAUCGGGCCGGGGUGCCGGACGGGGAGGAGACUCCUUUUUGUGGGUGUGGGACAAGGACACCGGUCCGCGGCUGUGGGACAGGGGACACCGGGCCGGAGUUGCGGCGCUGGAGGUUCCCGAGACCGGGGACGCGGUGACGAGGGUUUGUCCCUGCGGUUCUCUUCACCCCCCACCUGCUCCUGGAGCUGUCCAGUCCGGAGGCGGGUGGGCAGGGAACCUACUUAGAGUUCUGCCAGCUUACCCGUGACACGGCUCUGCCCGAGGCGUUUGUAGGGAGCUGUGCUUGCAAAUAAAGGCAGCUGAGCAGAAGGUCCCUAGCCUGGGCACAGGGGGAAAAGGUUGGUGUUACUCCUUCGGGACGGCAGGACCCGAGGGAGCAGCUCGAGCUCUCUCAGGGGAUGUUUAGGUUGGGUAUCGGGAAUGGUUCUCCCCCGAGAGGGUGGUCGGGCCCUGGAACAGGAUCCCCAGGGAAGUGGCCACAGCCCCAAGGCUGGCAGAGUGUAAAGAGCAUUUGGACAACACUCCCCGGUGGCCACAGCCCCAAGGCUGGCAGAGUGUAGAGAGCAUUUGGACAACGCUCCCAAGGUUGGUGUUACUCCUUCGGGACGGCAGGACCCGAGGGAGCAGCUCGAGCUCUCUCAGGGGAUGUUUAGGUUGGGUAUCGGGAAUGGUUCUCCCCCGAGAGGGUGGUCGGGCCCUGGAACAGGAUCCCCAGGGAAGUGGCCACAGCCCCAAGGCUGGCAGAGUGUAAAGAGCAUUUGGACAACACUCCCCGGCACGUGGUGGUAUUCAGGCUGUCCUGCACAGGGCCAGGAGCUGGACUCACCCAUCCUGGUGGGUCCCGUCCAACUCAGCAUAUUGUUUGAUUUUAUGUUCCAUUUUACAUGUUUUGUCGUCACGCACACAGGAACUUGGCUAAACUUUUCCUUCCCAAACACACAGCAGGAAAUAUUGUGCUUUACAGGCUGUUCCAAGCACAUUUGGUUCCUGCUUCAUCUGUUCGCUUGUUUUUUCUGCAUAGGUGAGCAGUGGGGAUGGAUAUGGACAGUGUGUUCUCAGGCUCCUCUCUGCAGAGCCUUGCCAAACUGCUGCGUGAUGCUCCAGAAGAGGAGGAUGAUGAUUAUGAUGAUGUGCCGUGCUGUUCUGUUGGUGCCAUGA